GCAUAUCAAUAAGCGGAGGAAAAGAAACCAACAGGGAUUGCCCCAGUAACGGCGAGUGAAGCGGCAACAGCUCAAAUUUGAAAUCUGGCCCCUCGGGGUCCGAGUUGUAAUUUGUAGAGGAUGCUUUUGGUGAGGUGCCGCCCGAGUUCCCUGGAACGGGACGCCACAGAGGGUGAGAGCCCCGUCUGGCUGGCCGCCGAGCCUCUGUAAAGCUCCUUCGACGAGUCGAGUAGUUUGGGAAUGCUGCUCAAAAUGGGAGGUAUAUGUCUUCUAAAGCUAAAUAUUGGCCAGAGACCGAUAGCGCACAAGUAGAGUGAUCGAAAGAUGAAAAGCACCUUGAAAAGAGGGUUAAAUAGUACGUGAAAUUGUUGAAAGGGAAGCGCUUGUGACCAGACUUGGGCGCGGCGGAUCAUCCGGGGUUCUCUCCGGUGCACUUCGCCGCGUCUGGGCCAGCAUCAGUUCGUCGCGGGGGAAAAAGGCUUCGGGAACGUGGCUCCUCCGGGAGUGUUAUAGCCCGUUGCAUAAUACCCUGCGGUGGACUGAGGACCGCGCAUCUGCAAGGAUGCUGGCGUAAUGGUCACCAGCGACCCGUCUUGAAACACGGACCAAGGAGUCGUCUUCGUAUGCGAGUGUUCGGGUGUCAAACCCCUACGCGUAAUGAAAGUGAACGCAGGUGAGAGCUUCGGCGCAUCAUCGACCGAUCCUGAUGUUCUCGGAUGGAUUUGAGUAAGAGCAUACGGGGCCGGACCCGAAAGAAGGUGAACUAUGCCUGUAUAGGGUGAAGCCAGAGGAAACUCUGGUGGAGGCUCGCAGCGGUUCUGACGUGCAAAUCGAUCGUCAAAUAUGGGCAUGGGGGCGAAAGACUAAUCGAACCUUCUAGUAGCUGGUUUCCGC
This 894-nucleotide ribosomal RNA is filed under the name Trichoderma stromaticum. RNAcentral's name for it is "LSU rRNA". It matches the Rfam family "Eukaryotic large subunit ribosomal RNA", at positions 38 to 961 of the family's 3401-position model. Lineage: Eukaryota; Fungi; Ascomycota; Sordariomycetes; Hypocreales; Hypocreaceae. The record is from RNAcentral.